CUGUUCUAUUUUAAUGUUGAUCAGUUUUUAAUCUGACAUUUUCUGCUGUUGUUAAGAGAUUGACAACACACUUUAAUAACCUGUUGGAAUCUGAAUGUAUGUGUUUACAACAGAUUUAAUGUUUUCCUUAAAAAAAAAAAAACAUGCACAGAGUGUCUGUGUUCUAGAAAAACAGUUUCAGAACCAGAGACAAUAGGCCCGUUUACACUACACUUUUUUAACCGAGCAUAUCAAGUACCUGGUCAGUAUGAAUGUGUAAGUAUAGAAAUAUUUAACUUAGAAAGAAUUGGUAAUUCUAAACUAUUAUAAUCCAUGUAAAAUGUUAGAAAGUGAGAUGUUUAAUAAACUUUCAGGAUCAAUAACAAGAAGAGAAGUUUGGUGUGGGGAUUUAAUUGCACAUAAUAGAAACAACAAACAACCGCGUGUUAACGUUUUUUUUUUUUUUUUUUUUUUUUUUUUUUUUUUUUUUUUUUUUUUUUUUAAUGUUAGCGAGGCGGUACCGUGAGUUUAGCGAGGCGGCCGCCUCGCAAAGAUAGCGCUGCGGGAAACCCGGACAUAGAGGAACUAUGUCAUGUCUUGAUUUAACAUUAGUAUCCUGUACGAUCAUUAGUUCUUGUGAAUGGUGUGUGAGGGGAGAGUCCACAAUAGGUAGUGAUCACUUUCCUGUUAGCACAAUCAUUAAAGAUAAAUUAUUUAGACAAGAUGAAAUCAGAAUAACAACAUGGUGUUUUAAUAAAGCUGAGUGGCAAAUUUUUAAAACAGUUUGUGAGCGAACAAGUCAUUUAGUCACAUUAAAAGGAAAUAUAGAUGAGUGCACUAAACAGGUAACGGAACAUAUACUGAAUGCUGCAGAACUUAGUAUUUCAAAAGCAACAAUCAAAGGAAAGACAAAAAUUGUGCCAUGGUGGAAUGAGGAUUGUAGUAGAGUGAUUAAAGAACGAAAUAAAGCAUUUAAAACUCUACAGAAAAAUUUGACAGGAGAAAAUCUUAUUAAAUAUAAGAAGAAAGGCGCAGAGGCUCGUAAAAUAAUUAGAGGCUAAAAAGGAAACUUGGAGAAAUUAUUGCUCUUCAAUUGGAGCAGAAAUUAAACUACAAAAUGUUUGGUCAAUGUUUAAGAAGAUGGGUGGAAAAAGAAGUCAAGUUAGAAUUACAGCACUGGUUAGCGGUCAAGAAGUAGUGGUGAUAAAUAAAGAUAAGGCAGAUGUUUUGGGUGAGGCAUUUGCAGCAGUGCAUAGUGGGGAGCAUUUAGGAAAUAUACAUAGGAAUCAAAAAGAACAAAAUCUAAAAGAAUUUAAUGAUAUUUAUAAAAAGAAAAAUAGAUCGGUUUCAGCAUUAGAUGAAGAAAUAAGUAUGAAUGAAAUUAAAACAGUUAUAAAAGAUACUGGAUACUCUGCUCCAGGAGAUGAUAAUCUAUGUUAUGCAAUGUUUAGAAGGUUACCGGAAGCAACAUUAAAAUUUAUAUUCCAACUUUUUAAUAAAAUUUGGAGAGAAUGUAAUGUUCCAAAUAAAUGGACAACUGCAACAAUCCUCCCAUUUAAUAAACCAGGAAAAGAUUCUUCAGACCCAAAUAAUUACAGACCAAUAGCAUUGACUUCUCACUUAUGUAAAUGGAUGGAGAAAAUAUUAGUAAAAAGAUUGGGGUAUAUGUUAGAGCAGAGGCAGAUAUUAAGUAGUUAUCAAUGUGGAUUCAGAACAGGAAGGUCUACAAUGGAUGCAUUAGUGAGAAUUACUAAUGAUAUAGAAAAAGGACUAAAAAUGAAAGAAUUGAUAAUAGCAAUAUUCUUUGACAUAGAAAAAGCAUAGGACUCAAUGUGGAGGGAAGGUUUAUUGAUUAAGUUGGAAAAUAUGGGAAUAGGUGGAAGAAUGUAUAACUGGAUAGCAAGUUUCUUUACAGAAAGGAAAAUUAGAGUCAAAGUUGGGGACGAAUGUUCAAAAGAUUUUAAAGUAGAAAAUGGCACUCCUCAAGGGAGUGUAAUUAGUCCUGUACUUUUUAAUAUUAUGAUUAAUGAUAUAUUCUUAAAUCUGGAUGAAUGCAUUAAAUCAGCACUUUAUGCCAAUGAUGGAGCCAUAUGGAUGAGGGGAAGGAAUGUAUCGCAUGUAGUUAAAAAUAUAAAAAGGGCUGUUAUUAAAAUAGAAAAAUGGUCAUAUGAAUGGGGAUUUAAAUUGUCAGUAAGUAAAUCCUGUUAUAUAAUUUUUAGUAAUAAAAGAAAUAUUGAUAUAGGAGAAAUAAAAUUACAUGAUCAACCUAUGAAAAGAGUAGCUGAAUUCAAAUAUUUAGGAUUAUGGUUAGAUAAUUCAUAUACAUGGAAAUGCAUAUUAAUAAGUUAGAAACAAAAUGCAAGAAAGUAAUAAAUCUUAUGAAAGCCGUGGCUGGGAAUGAUUGGGGGGCUGAUAAGCAGUCACUAUUAAAUAUAUAUAGAGCACUUAUGAGAUCAGCAAUAGAUUAUGGAUGUAUGAUAUAUGGAGCAGCAGCAAAAUCACCAUUACAAAUAGUAGAUAAAUUACAAUAUAGGGCAUUAUGAAUAGCUACUGGAGUAACUUAGACUACCCCUAUUAAAGCUUUUUUAGUAGAGGCUGGAGAAACUUUAGAAAUCAGACGGGUUAAAAUAUCACUUUCAUACUGGAUCAGAAUUAAAAGCAGUAGUGAAAAAACCCCAGCAACAAGCAUAAUAGAGAAUUGUUGGGAGUAUUCCAAAUUUACAAGAAAGGGCUUUGGCUGGAAUGUGAAUGAAUGGGCAAAAAUGUACGAGCUGGAGGAUAAGACAUUUUCAAAAAAUAACCCAAUUAAUGCUGUGCCACCAUGGUUGUUUCCAGAAACAAAAGUUGACCUUAAAAUACAUGAAAUGAAAAGAGAAUGGAAACAUAAUGAAGUCGGGGUUAAAACUAGCUUAUACAUUAGACAAGUGUAUUAUAGUUGUUUAAAAAUAUACACAGAUGGUUCAAAAAAUUCAAAGGGAAAUGUGGGAAUAGGGGUAUUCAUUCCAGAGUUCAAUAUAUGCAUCUGUGAAAGAUUAACAGACCUUUUAUCUAUAUACACAGCAGAAAUGGUUGCAAUUAUUUUUAGUUUACAGUGGGUGCAGGAGGUUAGACCGGACAGGGUGGUAAUUUGCACAGAUUCAAAAGCUGCAAUAGAAAGUAUACACUCAGGAGGAAAUAAUAGGAAAGACCUUGUAUUAGAAAUUUAUCAGAGUUUAUUUAGGUUAUAUAGAUGUGGAAUAGAUGCUCAGUUCGGUUUGGUACCAGCACAUGAAGGGGUGAAAGGAAAUGAAACAGCAGACAAGCUAGCUAAAAAGGCUUUAGGAAAGCAGAAUAUUGAUCAGAUUACAUUUGGGAAAGGGGAAGGUAAAUCAAUAAUUAAAAAGAAAGAAACAGAAAUAUGGCAAAAAAUAUGGGAUGAAGAUGAGAAAGGAAGAAGAUUGUAUAGGGUUCAAAAAUCUGUAAUAAUUAAAAAUUAUGGAGAAAGAAGCAGAAGGGAAGAGAUAAGUUUUACUAGAUUAAGAACUGGACACACCUACUUGAAUGAGUUUUUGUAUUUACUAGGGAAGAGAAAUAAUGAUAUAUGUGAGGGUUGUGGAGGAAAAGAAAACGUGGAUCAUGUUCUGAUGAAAUGCAUUAAAUAUGCAACGGAAAGAGAGAGGAUGAGGAAAGUAAUUAUGGAAAAUGGGAGAGAAUGGAGUAUUAAAACAGUUUAGAGACAGAUGGAGAUAGGGAGGAAAAUAUGGUAAUUCAUAAAGCAUUGUUUUUAUUUUUACAUAACACAAAAUUAAAAACUAGAAUAUAGUUAACCCCACCCACAUAUUGGUUGGUGUUGUUUAGCCAACCAAUAAGAAUGUUGAGGGGUGGAGUUAAACAGCAUCUUCCAGUCUAACAUAAUGAUGGCUGAAAUCCUUUCUGCUCAAAGAGCCAACUUUGGCUCAGUUCCCAAAGACCAGUUGGCUCUUUCAACUCCCAAACGGCUCAUUUUUUUUAACUUGUGACCUCUAAUUUUAGCUUAACUUAAUGGUUUUAUGUGUUUUAUUUUAGGUUAACUUAGAAAUACUUCUGCUUUGUUAUGAGUGAGUGAUGCUGGAGCUGAUGUGUUUUCAAAUAGUCUACAAAACUCCCCAUCCCAAAUCACUGUUUAACAAUUAAAAUUUGGGUAACUUUAAAAAUACACUAAUAUAAAAAUUAUUAUAUAUUUUUCAUAACAGUAACCAUUUGUUUUCAUCCGUGCUUUCCUACCUCCAUCAGCCAGAAACAAACCUUCAUGAGGACUUAGUAAAACCUGCUUUAACUGAUGUGGUUCUGGUCCAGUAGAACCCAGCUGGGCUGCUGCUGAUUUCUCCCCUUCAUCAAGUCCUGACUCAGCAGUUUUGCUCUUUAUGUCCAAGUUUCUGACUGAAACCUCAGAGUUCAGAGAUAAAGUGUUUUGGUGAGCAGCAGUGUCUGAUAAAGAGGUUAAUAAUGAGGAUUAGCUGCUGAAUGACUGGAUGAAGUCAGACUGUAGAUGUUGCUGGUUGUGUGUUGCUGAUGCUGGAGCUGAUGUGUUGCUGACUCUCCUCCUCUGUCUCCUCUCACAGGGAGAAGAUGAUCUGCAGGAUCCUGCUGCUCAUCAUCCUCAACUCAUGUCUCUGUGCAGCUGCUGCUGUCGCCCAACCUCAGAGACCGGCUCUGGAUCCAGAACCACGUGGUCCACGAAGGACCCGCCUCUACGGUUCAUUCCGACCGACAGCAGCACCCCCUCCUGAUGACCCCCCAACUCAGAGACCGACUCCUGAUUCAGAACCAGGAGGUCGAGGAAAGACCGGCAUCUAUGUUUUCCUGGGACUGACAGCAGCAGUAGCAGCAGCAGCUGUGUUAGUGAAAUGUUGUUUUUAUUCGGAGCGACAGAGGCACACAAGUACUGACUGACUGUAGUGUAAAGCACUGUGGGGUUGUUGGACUUGAUACAGCGCUAUAUAAGUACAAGCCAUUUACCAUUUUUAUUUACCAUUUACUAGUUUAGAAUAUAACCAGUAGGACUCAAACUUUAUUUCAGUUUAACAGAACCCUGAAGGUCCACUGAGCUCCUCCUACACAGAUGGCUUCUUAUUGGGAUUUAAAUGACAUGUUCUAAAAUAAAACCUCUUUUUACUUUAUUACAAGAUACCAAUUUAUUGCCUACCACUACCAGAAAAAAUGCUUAAAAAGUUUAUUUUUUUAAGGACUCUGGUCCAACGAGGACAAUUUCUGUCUUGUCAGAAUUUAAAAGCAGAAAAUUUAAAGUCAUCCAGGUUUUGAUGUCCAUAGUCCAAGUAAUAACUCAUUCCCAGUUAGCAUAACAGCAUUUAUUAUCGAUAUUAUUUUCUUGGAUUUAUUUUCAGUGGGUAAAUAUCUUUAUUUUACCCAUAAUAUUAAGGUAAACCCAUUAAUCUCAGUAUCAUUUUCAGCAAUAAUUAGACUUAAACCCUUUAAUUGUCCUCAUAGCCGGUUUUGCUUUUAUUCCAAAGUUCAUAGGGGAAUGUUAAUGGAAUCAUUAAACACACUUAAUAUAACAAAUUUGUCCAAACAGAUUUUUGCUUAUUAUUUUUGAAAAGCUUCAGCCGUCGAUGAUACUGGGAGACACCGGCUGUCUUUAGACUCCCACCUUUACUGCAAAAGCAAAACUAAUCAUUUUUGUUGUAAUAUUCAACACAAUGUAUAAAAUCCGAAGAUCUGUUUAAGAAGUUUAAUUUUGAUCCUGUGUUUUUUUUGUAUUCUUUAGCCUUUCACGUUUCAGUUUUUUGUCAAAAAUGAAAGUGCUUUUAUAAUUAAUUUAAAAAUGACUUCAUCUUCUCAUCAAUGUCCCUUUUCUCAACUGGAAAAACAUAUCAGGUUAUAUUGCUUUUUCCUCUUUCUUGGCUGUGUCUUCUACCUUACCCCAUAGGUUUUGACCAUGUGACAUAUUCGUGGCACUCUCCACCUCCCGUACUGCUCCAGUUCCACACCUCAGUAAUCACCAUCACCUGUCAUGCCCAAUCAAGCCGGGACUCAAUCCAACUUUUAACACUACUAUAAAGACUGUCAUAUGUCAGCUCUUCCUGAUUACAAUAGGAAAGAGGAUCAGUGAUAACAUAUCAGUAUAUACAGGAGAAAUGGUAGCAAUUCUGUUGGCAGUACAAUGGGUAGAGGAAAUAAGACCUCUCAGAGUAAUAAUUUGUUCAGAUUCAUCUUCAUCAUUAAUCAGUUUACAGAGAAGUCAUUCAGAUAGUAGACCAGAUAUUUUAAUAGAAAUCCAGCAAACAUUAUUCAGAAUUCAAAUGAUGGGAAUUACAGUUAUAUUUUUGUGGGUACCAGCACGUAUGGGAAUAAAGGGAAAUGAAAUGGCAGAUAAGGUUGCAAAGGAGGCUACAAUUAGAGAAAACAUUGAUAUCUCUAUUAAAGUUAGUAAGGUGGAAGUAAAGAGCAUUAUUAAACAGAAGAUGAAGGAAAGGUGGCAAAAGCAAUGGGAGGAAGAGAGGAAAGGACGGUGGCUGUACAUGAUUCAGAGGAGAGUGGGAGAAAUGAGUUGUGCAGGGAGGAGCAGAGAGGAAGAAAUAAUCAUAUCAAGACUUAGAUUUGGGCACACAGGAUUAAAUGGAACAUUAUUCAAAAUAGGGAAGCAUAACACUGGAAGAUGUGAGUAUUGUGGGGAACAAGAAACAGUUGAGCAUAUUAUGAUAUACUGUAAGAAAUAUGAAGAAGAAAGAAGGGAAAUGGUUAAAAA
RNA transcript from Fundulus heteroclitus (mummichog), 6703 nucleotides. RefSeq lists it as uncharacterized. The transcript is spliced from 2 exons. Lineage: Eukaryota; Metazoa; Chordata; Actinopteri; Cyprinodontiformes; Fundulidae. The record is from RefSeq and is a predicted model, not a curated record.